GGGGAUAACUACGGGAAACUGUAGCUAAUACCGCGUAGUAUCGGAAGAUGAAAGUGCGGGACCGUAAGGCCGCAUGCCAUGAGAUGAGCCCAAGUGGGAUUAGGUAGUUGGUGGGGUAAAGGCCUACCAAGCCUGCGAUCUCUAGCUGGUCUGAGAGGAUGGCCAGCCACACUGGAACUGAGACACGGUCCAG
This 193-nucleotide ribosomal RNA is filed under the name uncultured Pasteurellales bacterium. RNAcentral describes it as "partial 16S ribosomal RNA". It matches the Rfam family "Bacterial small subunit ribosomal RNA", at positions 139 to 334 of the family's 1533-position model. The record is from RNAcentral. Lineage: Bacteria; Pseudomonadati; Pseudomonadota; Gammaproteobacteria; Pasteurellales.